GCAAACUUGGUCAUUUAGAGGAAGUAAAAGUCGUAACAAGGUCUCCGUAGGUGAACCUGCGGAGGGAUCAUUACACAAUAACAUAUGAAGGCUGUACGCGGCUGUGCCCUCGGGCCAGUUUGGCGGAGGCUGGAGUAUUUAUUACCCUUGUCUUUUGCGCACUUGUUGUUUCCUGGGCGGGUCCGCCCGCCACCAGGACCACAUGAUAAACCUUUUUUUAUGCAGUUGCAAUCAGCGUCAGUACAACAAAUGUAAAAUCAUUUACAACUUUCAACAACGGAUCUCUUGGUUCUGGCAUCGAUGAAGAACGCAGC
RNAcentral lists this unclassified non-coding RNA (314 nucleotides) under uncultured fungus. RNAcentral's name for it is "partial contains small subunit ribosomal RNA, internal transcribed spacer 1, and 5.8S ribosomal RNA". The stretch from base 1 to 73 matches the Rfam family "Eukaryotic small subunit ribosomal RNA", at positions 1759 to 1831 of the family's 1831-position model. Lineage: Eukaryota; Fungi. The record is from RNAcentral.